Molecule: ribosomal RNA, 498 nt
Filed under: uncultured bacterium
Lineage: Bacteria
Description: partial 16S ribosomal RNA
Rfam family: Bacterial small subunit ribosomal RNA
Source: RNAcentral
AUUGAACGCUGGCGGAAUGCUUUACACAUGCAAGUCGAACGGCAGCACGGGGCAACCUGGUGGCGAGUGGCGAACGGGUGAGUAAUACAUCGGAACGUGCCCAAUCGUGGGGGAUAACGUAGCGAAAGUUACGCUAAUACCGCAUACGAUCUACGGAUGAAAGCGGGGGAUCGCAAGACCUCGCGCGAAUGGAGCGGCCGAUGUCAGAUUAGGUAGUUGGUGGGGUAAAGGCUCACCAAGCCGACGAUCUGUAGCUGGUCUGAGAGGACGACCAGCCACACUGGGACUGAGACACGGCCCAGACUCCUACGGGAGGCAGCAGUGGGGAAUUUUGGACAAUGGGCGAAAGCCUGAUCCAGCCAUUCCGCGUGCAGGAUGAAGGCCUUCGGGUUGUAGACUGCUUUUGUACGGAACGAAACGGUCCUUUCUAAUACAAGGGGCUAAUGACGGUACCGUAAGAAUAAGCACCGGCUAACUACGUGCCAGCCGCCGCAGUAA